UCAAGCGCGAAAAGGGCGUUUGGUGAAUGCCUUGGCAGUAAGAGGCGAUGAAGGACGUGAUACUCUGCGAUAAGCGUAGGUUAGCCGAGAAUAGGCUUUGACCCUGCGAUUUCCGAAUGGGGGAACCCACCUAACAGUUCGUUAUUGUUACCUUUUAAGGUAUCAAUAAUGGAUUGAGAUAGGUACUUAAGACCUGAAUACAUAGGGUUUUAAGAGCAAACCCGGGGAACUGAAACAUCUAAGUACCCGGAGGAAAGGACAUCAAUAGAGACUCCGUUAGUAGCGGCGAGCGAACGCGGACCAGCCGAGCCAUGAUUGUGAUCAGAACGCACUGGAAAGUGUGGCCAUAGUGGGUGACAGCCCCGUAUGAGAAGCAAGAUUGGACGUAUUAAGUAGGGCGGGACACGUGAAAUCCUGUCUGAAGAUCGGAGGACCACCUUCGAAGGCUAAGUACUCCUUACUGACCGAUAGCGAACCAGUACCGUGAGGGAAAGGUGAAAAGCACCCCGACGAGGGGAGUGAAACAGUACCUGAAACCGGACGCCUACAAUCAGUUGGAGGGGCAUAAGCCCUGACAGCGUACCUUUUGUAUAAUGGGUCAUCGACUUGGUCUAUCUAGCAAGCUUAAGCCGUUAGGUGUAGGCGCAGCGAAAGCGAGUCUUAAUAGGGCGACUGAGUUAGAUGCAUUAGACCCGAAACCGAGUGAUCUAGGCAUGGCCAGGUUGAAGGUGCAGUAACAUGCACUGGAGGACCGAACCCACAUCUGUUGAAAAAGAUCGGGAUGAGCUGUGCCUAGGGGUGAAAGGCCAAUCAAACUCGGAGAUAGCUGGUUCUCCGCGAAAUCUAUUUAGGUAGAGCGUCAUCCGAAUACCCCGGGGGGUAGAGCACUGGAUGGGUAAUGGGGCCCCACAGGCUUACUGAUCCUAACCAAACUCCGAAUACCCGGGAGUACUAGAUGGCAGACACACUGCGGGUGCUAACGCCCGUAGUGGAGAGGGAAACAACCCUGACCGACAGUUAAGGCCCCCAAUUCAUGGCUAAGUGGGAAAGCAGGUGGGACGACCAAAACAACCAGGAGGUUGGCUUAGAAGCAGCCAUCCUUUAAAGAUAGCGUAACAGCUCACUGGUCUAAAUAAGUUGUCCUGCGGCGAAGAUGUAACGGGGCUCAAGCCAUGAGCCGAAACUUCGGACGCAGUAAUGCGUGGUAGCGGAGCGUAGUGUGACAUAGCACCACGCCUCUUUAGCAAUUCUUUUGAAUUGCCUUGGAGGCUUCGGUGCUUUCUGUGAAGCCGGGCUGAAAGGCAUCUGGUGGAGAGAUCACUAGUGAGAAUGAUGACAUGAGUAGCGACAAAGAGUGUGAGAGACACUCUCGCCGAAAGUCCAAGGGUUCCUGCUUAAAGCUAAUCUGAGCAGGGUAAGCCGGCCCCUAAGUCGAGGCAGAAAUGCGUAGACGAUGGGAACUAGGUUAAUAUUCCUAGGCCAGGAGGAUGUGACGGAUCAUGAAGGUUGUUCACCCUUAUUGGAUUGGGUGGGCCGCUAAUUGGUUCCUGGAAAUAGCCCUCCAUUAGACCGUACCCUAAACCGACACAGGUGGACUGGUAGAGAAUACCAAGGCGCUUGAGAGAACUAUGUUGAAGGAACUCGGCAAAAUACCUCCGUAAGUUCGCGAGAAGGAGGCCCGGUUCCUAGGCAACUAGGGGCUGGGGGCACAAACCAGGGGGUGGCGACUGUUUACUAAAAACACAGGGCUCUGCGAAGUCGCAAGACGACGUAUAGGGUCUGACGCCUGCCCGGUGCCUGAAGGUUAAAAGGAGGGGUGAGAGCUCUGAAUUGAAGCCCAGGUAAACGGCGGCCGUAACUAUAACGGUCCUAAGGUAGCGAAAUUCCUUGUCGGG
RNAcentral lists this ribosomal RNA (1895 nucleotides) under marine metagenome. RNAcentral describes it as "bacterial LSU rRNA". It matches the Rfam family "Bacterial large subunit ribosomal RNA", at positions 1 to 1976 of the family's 2925-position model. The record is from RNAcentral.